Molecule: unclassified non-coding RNA, 479 nt
Filed under: Hevea brasiliensis (rubber tree)
Lineage: Eukaryota; Viridiplantae; Streptophyta; Magnoliopsida; Malpighiales; Euphorbiaceae
Source: RNAcentral
CCAAGAGCUCGGUCCCAUAUUAGCUGAGAACAAAUGCCAAUACUCCUUGAUACACCAAAAAGAACAGUGAAGUACCUAGCUUCAGUUAAACCAUAGUAGUUCAGCAAUACCCCACUGUGAGCAUCAACAUUGGGCCAGGGGUUUUUAACCUUGCCUAGCUCAGUAAGGAUUGGAGGCACAACUUCAUAAAGCUUAGAAACCAGCUGGAACAGCGGAUCAUUAGGUAAAUGUUUCAAUGCAAACUCCCUCUGGCACGUGUAUCUUGGAUCAGUUUUACGUAAAACUCCAUGACCAAAUCCAGGAACAACCUUUCCACUAUUUAAUGUUUUCCAGACGUAGUCUUUCAGUUGUUCUGUGGUUAUAUUCUCCCCACACUCCUCCACUACAGAUUUAAUCCAAAGCAAAACUUCCUGAUUAGCCAAGCCAUGGAGUGGUCCAGCCAAACCAUUCAAUGCAGCUGCAAAUGAAAGAUAAGGAUC